RNAcentral lists this long non-coding RNA (413 nucleotides) under Capsicum annuum. RNAcentral describes it as "long non-coding RNA (CANN_LNC006466)". The record is from RNAcentral. Lineage: Eukaryota; Viridiplantae; Streptophyta; Magnoliopsida; Solanales; Solanaceae.
AAGAAAACCCUAAGCUCCUACAUCCAACUUCAAGAACCUCCAAAGUUCACCAUUAAUUUUUCAAAUUUAUUCAAGAUUCCAAGUUCCUAGUUCAAGAACUCCAAGAACCAUCAUUCAAAGGCACGAUUAACAUCUCAAAAAUGAGCAUCGAUCUAAAGUUCAUCAUUCAAGGUAUGUGGGGUUUUUCAACAAGAACUCUCUUUCGUUCUUGUGCCCAAAAGUAAUUUUCUUUACAAAGGCAUGAUUUUUAUUUGAUUUUUACAAAUUUGAAGCAUGAACCCAUAUCUUAUGAUGAUUAUUAUGAAAUCUUGAUGUUUAUGAUUUUGAAAGAUGAAUUUACAUGUGUGGAGAUAUAAAGCAUGAAUCUUGAACGAUAUUUAUCAUGAUUUUGAUAGUUGGGUCGUGAAUCCCCU